UUGCAGUUGGACUGAAACAAGAAAUUGGCCAAGUCUGAUAUGGCUUAAAUUCAUAAGAUUCCUGGGGUGUAGGUUCAAAGAUAAUUAUGUUGGAUUCAAGAAAAGCAAAGAAAUCCUACUCUAAAGGAUAAUACUCUUCUUUAUGCUGAACAAAAGUUAUUGAAUAUUUUUUUCGGUUAAAAAGUAAAAUUAGAGGNNNNNNNNNNNNNNNNNNNNUCUAAAGGAUAAUACUCUUCUUUAUGCUAGAACAAAAGUUUAUUGAAUAUUUUUUUCGGAAAAUAAUGAGAAAUAAAAAAAGAUAUGCUUAGGAGUUAGCCAGGGCUUUUUCAGUGAGCCUUAUGAAGGAAACAACAGAGAGGGAGGAAUAGAUUGUUCACCAACCAUGGAGUCUUUUCCCUAAUCAUUCUGUAUAGUGUUAGCAAACUUUCAGAGUAUUACAUGUAGUUGGUUCCAGCUAUUGUGACAACUGGUCAAAUGGUGUGAAUGAUGAAGGAAGCAUGU
RNAcentral lists this long non-coding RNA (501 nucleotides) under Elaeis guineensis (African oil palm). RNAcentral describes it as "long non-coding RNA (EGUI_LNC035348)". Lineage: Eukaryota; Viridiplantae; Streptophyta; Magnoliopsida; Arecales; Arecaceae. The record is from RNAcentral.